This 285-nucleotide unclassified non-coding RNA is filed under the name fungal sp. RNAcentral describes it as "partial internal transcribed spacer region". The stretch from base 1 to 46 matches the Rfam family "Eukaryotic small subunit ribosomal RNA", at positions 1786 to 1831 of the family's 1831-position model. The record is from RNAcentral. Lineage: Eukaryota; Fungi.
AAGUCGUAACAAGGUUUCCGUGGGUGAACCUGCGGAAGGAUCAUUAACACGUAUCAAAACCCCUCUGUGCAACCCUCUUACGUUAGGCUUGAUUGGAGUUGUAUUCACUCGAUCUUAAUGAUGGGAGUCCCUCUCUCGGGAGGGAUCUGGACAAUCGGGCCGCUAGGUGUCCAUCGUUAGCCCUGUACUAUUUUAACCCUUGUACUCUUUUGUACUGAACCAAUUCUUCGAGUUUCGGCUUCGGCUGAGAUACGAAAGAUCUUAGCAGCGGAUAUCUGGGUUUCC